UUUAAGGAUACAUUCCUGAAGAAAAAAACCCCCUGGCAUUGUCGAAUAGACGCCAGAAAUCUUGGGGCUCUUCCAGCUGCCUUAUGGCCCGAUUGACUCCCUCAGCCUUGUGGGGGGGCCACCUGCAUGUCCCACUAUUGUACCAUUGCGUUGGCAUAACCUCCACCUCCUCGGAAUUGUCAAAGCAGACAACGGAAUACAUAGUAGCUGGUCUUCUGCAUGAGAACAAAAAUCAAACUCUGUUAACCAGUUUAACCCUACUGUCGCGUCAAAUCAAAGCACACUGGGAAAUCAUGCACAGCAACAGCCACAAUCUCAGCUCCAAGUCUCAGCUCCAAACCUCCGAACCUGCAGGGGGCAGAGAGAUAAAUAUGUGAAAUGUUGAAAAGGUAUAUUAAGGCAUUACAUCAGUACUUAAGUUGGAGUAGUAGCCUGUUUGUGCCUGUGUAGCAGGGUUAAUGCUUCUGUGGCAUCCCGCCACGUGGUCCUCGGCCUGGACGGGCCCGGGGUACCGUGGAGGACGGGGUGUACCACCCCCACCCACCAGCCGGCGAUGGAGAGCAGCCCUUUCGGCACCCCAAUCAGGGUGAUUGGGGGACACCUGGCCGAAAGCACGGGAGCCAUUUUAAAAGGAGGCACAGCACAGCACAGCACGGGUCGGGUGCAGGAAGGAAGGGCUCGUGGCAAGGAGAGAGCCUAGAGGCCCACCCCGGCUGGGAGAGGCUGCCAUUGUGAGGGUUCUCAACAAGCAUUUUCCAUGUUAAAUAUUCCACCAGGUAUGUCACCAAUCGCCCAUUCAAAUAUUUUGUGAGUCAUUUGUUUAAUGUGAUAUUUAUCUUCAUGUAAAUGGUCAGUCUACGUAUACCCCGGCUGGGAGAGGCUGCCAUUGUGAGGGUUCUCAACAAGCAUUUUCCAUGUUAAAUAUUCCACCAGAAUAAACGGCUGGCUGCCAAUGGUUCCAUCGUGGUCUCUGACACAACGCAACGAGAGAGUACGCAACCGCUACAAAUGGUGCCGUGACCCGUUCUUCUCUGCCUGUCUGCUGCGUCGUUGAGGAUCGCCAUUCGGCGUCGUGAGCACCGACCACGUGGCCGUGCAGGGGUUUUCCACUCAUUGCAAUGUAAUCCCUCCACGGCAAUGUAUGAAGCUAUGAGCAUUCAUUCAUCCCAUUGGCAAACGGAAGACCCGAUGGCUGCACAUUAACGGUGAUUUUACAGUGAAAUUUGUGACAUUCCUCAACACAACUACACCAACGUGUCCUUGUUAAUUACAAAACAUGUAUGGGUUAAGUUUAUGGGCAUCAGUUGUCCUGUUUUGUGCUUUGAUUGAGAGAAACAAUCGUUUUUUUUAUCAGUGCUGAGGUCGUUGCCAUAGAGACCAAGACAGACAGAGCAACCCUUUCUCAUCAAAAGUACGUUCCCAGAGAACUAUUCGGCAUUCUCAAUUACGUUUGUCUAAAAAACGUAUUUCGUCCGUGAUUACGUUUUAUUGAACAUAUUGUAGUGACGGAGGAAAAGGAGGACGUAGGCAACUUAAUUAUAACCGUUUAAUCCAAUAAAACAGAUCAGAACAAUCAGUCACAGUGCAUGGUUUGUGCAACCGCCUAACGCGUCCCCCUAACCCCCAUGACUCCUGACCAGUUCCCUCCCACUCGAUCAGUAAGAGGGGAACACAAACCCAUAAUGUAGUCACUACAAUAUCGUAAAUACGAAUUCGUUCUCAGCCCAUUUUUGCCAUUUAUUUACCGUGUUACUAUAGCAGAAUAAAGAAUAAAUUCAUGCAUUAUCAUUCAACUUGAACAUGUGUUUUUACAGUAUUGAGUGGUCGAGGGAUGACGUGUGUUGGCCAACCCGGAAGUGAGCGUCGCCCUCGGUUCCGUUCCCUUGACAAAAAGCCAACAGGUUUUUCCAUUGGAUUUUGGAUUAUUGCAGAAAAAUUUGCAUCUUUGAAGCCGCUCCUCAAAAAAUGAAAUUAAAUAAAUAAAAAUAACCGUGCUUCAAAGAACGAAAUGUAAACUAAUGCAUUCUGAAUGGGAGAGUUUCUCCGAUUUUUCCAUGCUACACAGAACGAAAUGUAAACCCAUGCAAAUAAAGACUUCAUGGUCCUAAUAAUUUAAACAUUAUUAAUCUCCUGAUUAAUCUCUUCAGUGUGUAGGGUGGUAUUCUAUU
Gadus chalcogrammus (walleye pollock) is the source of this 2168-nucleotide RNA transcript. RefSeq lists it as uncharacterized. The transcript is spliced from 3 exons. The record is from RefSeq and is a predicted model, not a curated record. Lineage: Eukaryota; Metazoa; Chordata; Actinopteri; Gadiformes; Gadidae.